Molecule: non-coding RNA, 10979 nt
Organism: Rattus norvegicus (Norway rat)
Lineage: Eukaryota; Metazoa; Chordata; Mammalia; Rodentia; Muridae
Source: RefSeq, a predicted model, not a curated record
AGGGGAAGGAGGAGGAGGAGAAGGAGGAGGGGGAGGAGGGGGUAGGGGAAGGGGGAGGAUUUUAACAGUCACUUGGAGGAGGGAGGGAUGAAUCAGAAGAGGCUUGAGGGGGUUCCAGGUGCUGGCACUACUCUACUAAAUGGUCCUGAGUGUGAUUUACAUUUCACAAUGAGAAGGCCUUUAAUAACACAUAUCAUAUAAGAUUCAGUAAGAGUCCAUAAUCAACUUAUCAUCUUAAUCAUCUGAAUUAGCAAUUAAUUUUCAACUUUAAUCAUUCCAACAAGCCUCUUGAAAUGCAAAUUUUAAUUAAAUUUGUCAGGCAAUAAUUACUUUAAAAAACUAUUAAUACUCUAAAACUUAGUUUACUAAAGCAUACGAGCUGGUAAAACAUCCAAUCCAGGUAAAAGUGUUUUCUACUCGAAUCAGAUGAACUGAGUUCAAACCCCAGAGCCCGUAGAUGAAAAUAGAGAACAGACACCUGACAAUUGUCCUCUGGCCUCCACACAUACAUGGCAGCACAUUGGCACAUGUGCACCAACAUGCAUGAUGUGAACAUGUAUAAUAAUGCCCAAAAUUUAUCAUCAUACAGGUAACUUAUUUUAUUUUAUGUGACAUUCUAAGCAGGACACAGAAACUUCACAAUUUGUUCAACCUUUUUAAAAGCCAUAUUAUGUACGUAUACCUAAUGGCAAUUAUAGACACUAGUAUUUCUUUGCUAUAAGAGAGAAGAAAUGAAAGAAACCGAGUUUCUUUGUGUUUUGAAACAACGUCUUGCUAUGUUUCAGGCUAGACUGGAACUCACCAUGCAGCCAAGGCUGGUAUCAAACUCAAAAUCCUCCUGCCUCAGUCUCCUGAGUUCUAGGGUUACAAGUACAUACCACACACCCAGAUUUAGUUUUGCUUACCUAUUUAAGCAGAGAAAAAUGCUCUGUGAUGUGGUCUAGUAUUGUUUUAAUUAAACUUAUAUAUUGAUGACUCAGAUUUCUCUUUAGAAAAUGCUAGUUUGAAUAAUAUAAAGUGUUCCCACAAAGGGCUCAUUUAUUAGCAAGCUAAGUACCCAGUUAAUGGCACUACUUUUGGAGGUUCUGAAAACUUUGGAAGACAGAGCCUAACUUGAAGAAGCAGGUCACUGGGGCGUGUCCCUGAAAACAUCUUUGCACUGAGCUCCUUUCGGCUGUGCUCUCUGUUUCCUGUCUGCAGUCAUGAAACGAGCUGCUCCAACAGACUGAAUGGUAUUUUGAAUAAACAGCACGUUAUGGGAUGCAUAGUUUGCAUGUACACAUAUAUACCUGUGAGCAUGGCAAGCCCUUUACAGACAGAAUCAUCUCCUCAGCCCCAAGCUGUUCUUGUUAAGGUUUAUUUUAUUUUAAUUGUAUCUGUAUGAGUGUUAGCCUGCACACAUGUGUGUGUAGUAGGAAGGCUGGAAGUGGGCAUCAGAUCCCUCUGAAACUUGACUUACAAACAGUUGUGAGCCACCAUGUGGGUGCUGGAAAUGGACUCUGGGUCUUUUAUAAAACAGCAGGUACUCCUGCUGCUGACCCAGCCACCCAACACAGCUAUGGUUUGCUUUCAAUAUUUCACUGACAAUCAGAACAGAUACUGAAAAUGCUUUCCUGACUUCAUUUAACAAAAGCCUUUCUCAAAGGCCAAGCUCUUUAGGUCAGAGUUGUCCAAUUCAUUCGUCUCUGGCCAAACUGACCAUUCAAAAAGUACCAGUGCAUUCAGCCAUGGUUCUUCCUACAAGAAUGCCAGACAGCAGAUAGAUCUGCCAUUUUAAGAUUAGUAUAGAGUAAUUUUAAAGCUUCUUUUACCUGAACUGAGAUAGAAAAGUUAAAGGUAAGCAGAGAAUCUUCUUAUACCAGAACAGUCACUCAAAGAGUAAAGAAAAAAUAAGUAUUUUUCCUGAUGACACAGACAACUUUAAAAGACAAUUUCUACCUUAUCACAAACACACAUAUGGUGUGGCUCAGAAUACAUAUGACUAAGAUAAAACUUUAAGGCAUAUUGGAAUAUGUCUAUAAUUCCAGAAUAGGAAGAUGGAAAGAAUAUUACAAUCCAAGCUAGUCUGAUGACCAUCACAACAACAGCAACCAACAAAGAAGCAAAGGACAAAGGCUCUCCUCUGCAUCGUCCACCCGGCCGUGACUACUGUGGCUGUGGUGGGACUGCUCACAGACAGUACUUUUGGUCACAUCAUCUCAAGUGUAGAAGCACAGACACGUAUAGGUGCAAAGGUAUAGAAGUGCAGAAGUUUGGAAAUACAGAAGUGAGCAAGUGUAGAUGUGUGCAAGUGUACAAGCACAGACUUUGAGCAGUGGAAGUGUAGGAGUGCUGCACUAAUACCACUUCAUAAACUGGCUACUGGCGUGUGACCAAAGGAACAUGUACAUCGAAUACACUUAAAGUUCUUCUAGCAAUCUGAUGUUAGCGUGACAAAUUUAUGGUUUGGUUUGGUUUUGCUAAUACUUUUCGAAUUUCACUUUUUCUGAUCUUUUCUUUAGCAUGUAUUUUACAAAUGUAUUGGUCCAUACAGACAUUAAAAAAGCAAAAACAGGCCUUUCAGCACAGAUAAUUUAAGGAGUAUACAGUAUAUUACAAUGUCCUUUCUCUUUGACACAAAUAUUGUCUGCAGCCAAGUCUACCCACGAGGUCUGUUUCUUCCUUGAAUUCAUUGCUACUUAAAAUCCUCUCUACUGAGCCUAUGUUUUCUCCCUUGACAUAUAAAAUGUGAAGAUUACUGUCCGUGAAGAUUAGGCUGAAGGAGCCCAUGCAUUCAGUUGGUGACGAUGGUAAACAAUGAGGGAAAGGUUGGCUACUGUGGCUGACAGCAAGCACACUCUAAAUUUUUACUCAGAAAAAAAAAAAAAUGCAUGGGACAGAAACAAGGACCAGCCCAAGUUUUCUAAAUUCAUGAUGAUCAAAGGCGUGUGCACAAGCGGACAGUUACAGGCCCAACAAACCAUCGCUUCCUUGUAACUUAUAAAAAACACUGUCUUCUGUGUAGUCUUCAUACAGUCUAAAGUACUAGUCUACUUUGUACGUGUGUUUGGGGGCUGUACCACAGGAAGGAAGCCCUGAUUUAUGACUCUUUCCUAAAGUCUGCUCUGCUGUGCCAAGGUUUCCUUCCACAGCAAUAAAAGCUAUUUUGGAAAUUUUAAAUCAAUCUCAAAGUUGGCAGUGUAAUUAUAACUUCCAUUUUUGCAGGACACAGAGGGAAAACAGUGGUUUGGAUGGAGAGCCACGAGAACUCUGGGCGCUGAAGUGGUCUCCAGAUCAUGUUCAUCUGUUAGACCAUCAAGGUCUGCUUUCACAGUCUUUUGCCAAUCUCGCUAAUACGUUCCAACCAGGCUUUGAGUAAAAUGAACUAUAAUUCAUUUGAUAUGGAGUUUAUUAAAAAGAUACUUUAAAAAACAUUCUAUAGGUCAUUCAUAUGCCUAAAAGAUUAGAAUUUUUAUUUAUAUAGAUUUAUGAUGUUGGGAAUUGGUUCUAAUGCUUUGUUUUAUUUUGGCUCCCAAAAAGCCUCAAUUCCAGACCUCAGGGUCCCUGCCACCAACUGGCUUUGAUUGAUAAAAAGAAUUGCCAUACAGCCAAUGUCUGGGCAGAAAGACAAAGGACCAGAGAGAGGAGACAGAGGCUCACCAUGACUCAGAGGGAGAAGGAUCGGAUGUAAGAGCUACAGGAAGAAAAGCAACUAACAGGAUAUGUGUGUAAUAUAUAUUACAUCCCAAGGCAAGAAAUGUUUUAAACAAACUAUUUCCAGAAAAGUAGAUGGAUCUGCUAUGACCCUGCACAGCUGCCUUCAGUGUGAAGACUGUGGUCUCUGAAGAGAUAACUAAGAACAUGAGUUACUGGUGGUAUCACAUGUACACACAUGUAAAAGAAAAGGCCUGGAGCUAUAACUAAGCCAGCCAUAUCUACCAUGCUGUCGUGUGGAACAGUCUGGAUCCAACUCUGGUAGCAUCAAACAAACAGCUAAGAAGCACAAGAAGACAACAGCUUAGUCAUAAGGAAAAUGCAAAUGAAGGCAAGAUAAAAGAUCACUCCUACCCAUUUGGACAUUCCAAAGAACAGAUAAGAGUAGCAAGGAUCAGGAAAAACUGGAAUCCUUUUAUGUUGCUGGUAGAAACAUUGUCAUAUACAGCCAAGUCACUUUAUCUCUAUAAACACAACCAAGAGUAGGGAAAAGGUGCCCUGUGAAAUCUAGUGCCAGGUACCCUGCUGCACUCACGGUGGCCACAGAAAUACCUCCUGUCAGUGAGCAGAUAAACAGAUGUGGCACAUGCAAACACAUGCUACACUACUCAGCCAUAAAGGACGAGCAGACAGUGUCCAGCCUCCAGCUGCAUCCUCACCCCAGGAAGGCAAUGAGGGCAGCCCAGCACCCAUGGUAAACUUACUUAGACAUUGUGAGAUACACUUUUGUGACUUGGUCCUGUAGUUCUCAAGCAUUACCUUUGUAGACAAUGAGGUAUUGCAAUAUCAAAUGGCUGGACACACCUGACAGAUGGACCCUGAAAACAUGGGAAGUGAAAGCAGCCAGAAGAGGCCACAUGUAUGAGUCAUUCAUGUGAAAUGUACACAGGAAGCAAAAUUGAACACAGACUUUUGUGUGCCCCAGGGCUGCUGACAAAGGGCUGUUAGCAGACAUUGGUUUCCUUUUAGAAGGGAGGGAAUGAUCUAUUAGUGGUAUGAGGUAUGUGGUUCAGGAAAAUACUAAAAUCACUGAACUGUGUUCUAAUUGGAUAGAUCUUACAUUAUGCAAACAUCUGAACUAAAACAAGCAAAACCCCUAGCAGCCCUUGCCUGGGCUUUGGAUUUUCCUGCACCUUCCUGUGGCCAUGCUUAGGACUGCUCAACUAUUCUGAUCUUACCUAUCAAGUUCUGUCCAGGACGUGAAACAGAGCACAUGCUCUUCCUUUCUUCUUUUCUAUAGCUUUUAUUAAAUGAAAAUAUAUAUUAUUUUUAUUAGGUGACAUAAAAAAAUUAAUUUUUCAAGUUUUAAAGGCUCCAAAUCUCAUCUCACAUUGGAAAAUGUUCACUUAAGUAUUAGAAAACUUACUGCAGCUCUUAUUUAACUCUUUCAUUAAAUAAUAAUGAAGAUUGAUUGAUUGAUUGAUUCUGGAGCUGGGGACUAAACCCAGGGCCUUGUGGUUGCUAGGCAAGCACUCUACCACUGAGCUAAAUCCCCAACCCCAAUAAUGAAGAUUUAUAACAAUUACCCUCACCUCAUCACCUCCCAGAGAUCAGGGCACAGGGGCCCGUGCCUGUGGUCUCAGUAUUCAGGAGACAGAAACAACAUGAUCACCUGAGCUCGGGCUUGUGACACCAACCUCAGCAGCACAGCAAGAGCUCAACUGUUUGUUGUUUGUGUGCAUGUGUGUGUGCACGUGUGUGUGUGCGUGUGUGUGUGCGCGCGUGUGUGUGCGUGUGUGUGUGCGUUUGUGUGUGUGCGUGUGCCUAACAGGGUACCUAACAGGGUGGGUAGCUCACUGGUUAAGACACCUAACCAGGGUAUCUAACAGUGUGGGUAGCUCACUGGUUAAGACACCUAAACAGGGUACCUAACAGGGUGAGUAGCUCACUGGUUAAGACACCUAAACAGGGUAUCUAACAGGGUGAGUAGCUCACUGGUUAAGACACCUAACCAGGGUACCUAACAGGGUGGGUAGCUCACUGGUUAAGACACCUAACCAGGGUACCUAACAGGGUGGGUAGCUCACUGGUUAAGACACCUAACCAGGGUACCUAACAGGGUGGGUAGCUCACUGCUCAUCUAAAAGACCCAAGUUUGGUUUCCAGCAGCCAUGCAGCCAUGUCAGGUGCCUCACCCUCACUUACAGCCCAGUUCCAGGGGGAUCUGAUGCCUGCACCGAGGGAGGCACCUGCACUCGAUAUAUUAGCAUACAUGGUUUGUACGUACCCUAUGUAGGAAGUGUGGUCCCAGUGCAGUGCUGAGCUAGUGGCCUAGAAAGGAAUAAUGACGGUCUCAAGGAGAUUAGUCCUAGAGAGGACUUUACAUUUUCUUUUCAUUAAUUUUCAAAAGAAACUGCCCCACUACCCCAUGGUCUGGCUUUCCUUCUCACCAUAUGACUCCUUCAUUACGUUCUCAUUGUAAUGUCACCCGCUAAGGUCAUGAAGCCAGGCCCUCGAUAACAGAUGGUACUGCCACUACUAGACCUCUAGGCCUGUGAGCUAAAUAAACUUCUUUCCCUCAUAUAUCACCACUGUCCAAUACUUCGUUCCCAUUACAGGAAACAUAGCAACACAGGGUCCUCUGAGCACGACAGCUGAGAAGCAAGCUAUUAUUCCAUUCCAAAAGAGACUUUAGUAGUACUGCCCUCAAGGUUGGUCCUGUAAUACCUAAAGGGACUCUUAUUAACUGAUUAAAUGAGAAAUAUAAAGCUCUAAAGACCUAAAGUUCACUCUAAUUUCUUAAGUUUUAAGACGUUGAGGCAUUUGGAUUCCAGGUUUCCAGGUUAGAAGGACUCGGGAUGUUUUAUUUAGCAUUGCUGUGUAAGGGGAAACCCUGAGGAAGGCAAGCCGUCACUGCCAGUAACUCAGGAAUCUCGCUUUCCGUUAUCACUGGCAUUUCACAGGUCUGCACUGCUUCGGAUUUCUCCGAGUACCUUCAUCUUUUACUCAGGAUAGCUCACAUUAUUAGAGCGAAUAAAGCUUUUGGAACCAAAGGAAUCAAAAUUCUGGUUUACUAAACUUUAUGAUUUGGGGUAAGUUGGUUACAUUUCAGAGUCCUUACCUUAAAAUAGGAAAUUGAAAACAUUUCUAGAAAAUCAAUGCUACCCAAAAUACAUUGUUUUGUCUCAAAUAUCAUUCUAAAUGCUUUCCCAACACUAAUUUAUCUCACAAAGCAAUGGUGUAGGACUACUGUUGUCCUACAGAGAGAGCGGUAACUGUUAUCCUACAGAGAGGUUAUGUGGCUCAAACUCAAGUGCUAUUUGCUGUUGCUGCCUGUAGGAGGGCAGGUUGUCCUAGUAUAGCCUUGGCUGGCCUGGAAAUCCCCUGUAGGAUAGGCUGGCCAUGGCCGCCUUCUGCCUCUUCAGUGCUGGGCUUACAGGUCUGCAGCACCACAGACUAGGCUUCUAAUUGCUACUCCACGCAGUCUCUUUGGUGAUGUAAAGUGGCUCUAAUUCUACAUUUUGUUUGCUUUUGUUUUGUUCUGUUUUGCUUUUUAAAGAAUGCUGACAUCCCUCCAGGGCUUCAACUGGAUUAUUCAUUGGGCUCUCAUCUUUUGUCAAAUGAUCCUAGGUGUGGAUUGUGCAUUUCUAAGAAACAAAUGUAUAGCCCGGUGGUGGUGGUGUGGUUGCAUCUGCCUUUACUAGUUCUACCACUCAGGAGACAGAAGGUGGAUCUCUGAGCUGGAGGCCAGCCUGGUCUACAGAGUGAGUUUCAGGACAGCCAGGGCUACACAGAGAAACCGUCUUGAAAAACAACAAAAUAGGAUGAAAAAAAGAAGUAAAUAUAUAGGUUUUCUGGCAUAGCAGAGAGCCCCUGAAUCCUGAUGCUGAGACUGAUGAGGCUGGCAGCUUCCAGGACUGUGCUGUCCCCAUCUGUGACUGCUAUUCUGUAAUCUUCCUUUUGAGCCUCCCUGGUUGUCACUUACAGACUUAGGCUGUAGCCACUACAUCUGUCACUCCCAACACAUCUUAACUGCUACUCCUAUACAUUUGCAACACACAUGCAGCUUAUAUAUAUAUGUGUGUGUAUGUGUAUACAUGUGUAUGUGUAUAUAUAUAUGUGUGUGUGUGUAUAUAUAUAUAGCUUCAACUAUUUCAUAUAUUCAUUCCUGCUUUAUGUUAAUUUAAAAAGAACUAUUUCUCCUUCAGUAAAAUAAAUAAAAGGCUCGGCACGGUGGUGUGCUCAGGAGACAGUAGGCGGAUCUCCUGAGUUUGACGCCAGCCUGGUUUACAUAGGGAGACCCGGUCUCCAAGAAUAAAGCUAAGGGCCAGGGAGAAGGCUCAGCUGUUUAGGGGAAUCUGCAGCUGCCAAGUCUUUAGGCCUGAGCAUGGCUCACAAUGAAAGAAAGGAAUCAGCUCCUGUUCUGUGCAGUACUCACUGUGCGCACAGUGACACACACGCAUGCCCAUUCACUCACACGCGCACACAGAUAAACCACUAGUUAAUCCCAGUGCUAGGAGGUAGAGUGGUGAGGGGUGUAGACUGAGACAGGAAGACUGCUGUGAGUUCAAGGCCAGCCUGGGCUACAUGUAUUCCAGGAGAGUGAGAUCUGGUCUCAAAGUAAAAUCAUCUUACAUCUAGUGUUUGUCUUUCUUUAGAUCCUUUAUGAAGGAAGGAACCUUCCUCUCCUAUCUUUCUUAAAGCAGUGAUCCUUAAUCUGGACACAGAAUGUAACAAAGAAUCCAUGGAUUAGUUCAAACAGUCUAACUAUAAACAGAACUUUGUCUUAUUUUCCAAGAAAGUUCAAACUGUUGAUUUUUUUUGAAGCAAAAAACAAAACAAAACAAAAAAACAACCUAAGAACUACUUCGUAAAGAAAACUGCUGUGGGAAAUAAAAUUUAAUAUGUAACCUUUAAUGACUUAUUUUUCAUCACCUCAACUUUGUCGAGAUAUUCCGCUUAUUAAGAAAAGGAAAAUACUCAUGAAAAAGCAAUGUUCCAAAUGAUGAGAUUUUAAAAACGAAUCAAUGGAGCUAGAGAGAUGGCUCAUUGGGUAAGAACACUCUGGUUCCAGAGGACCCAGGCUCAGCGGCAGCUCUCAGCCAUCUGCCGGCCCAGUUCAGAGGCCCUGAUGCCCUCUUCUGACCUCUAGGCAGGAGAGUGGAGCUGGGACACACAGGCAAGCAGAACAUCCACACAUAAAUAAAUCUUUUUUAAAAAUGUGACCAAAUAUAACAGCUUCUGCUUUCCAAUUUUUAUUUUGCCACACAUGUAAUUUUAGUUUAUUAUUAAAUUACUAGUAUAAAAGAUGGUCUUCAGGGGCUGGAGAGAUGGCUCAGCUAUUAGGAGCACUUGCUGCUCUUCCUGAGGAUGUGAGUUCAGUUCCCAGCACCUACGGGACCAGAAGGACUGCAGAUCGAGUAGAUCUAACCCCCUUUUCCAGACUCCACAAGCACAAGAUACAAAUGCUCUCUACAUACAGACAUGAAGGCAAAACAUUCACACACACAUUAUAUAAACAAAUCUUUAAAAAUAAAUGUCUUCAGUCCUUGGAGAUUGUUAUCCCUGUCUCAAAUAAAAUACAGAAUUGCUCUAUGUACUAACUCUAACAACAAAUGUUUAUUGAAUACUAUGUCAGGCAAUAAAUUUGAUCCUAUUGACUGUGUAGAUUAAUUCUUAGGUCUCCACCUUAUUGUCUCAAUCCAUAAAUACAGGUUAGACCAUACUUUAUGUGCAUGUUCACCGGACUCGCAUAGUGCCUGGAUCUUAAUGAAAGCUUCAGUAUUUAAAUGAAUACUGACCCAAAAGACAAGAGAGGGUGGGAUACACAAGCAGCAGUUUCUCGUUUGAAACAACCAGACCACCAAAGUUAGAAUAAGAUUAGAAUCUUUCAUGGAUGCCAAAAGAACAAUAACAAAAUACUAAAAACUUCAGAACAUAUGCCUUUCUAUUAACUUUUUCCUUGGAUAAAUUAAGACAAACCUUUUAUGCUAGCAAAAAAGAGGGGGGGCGACUAAAUGAUGGCAAAAAUGAGUGAGAUUCGAAGGCCUUUUAGGUAAGGAUGUUACGAUAUCUGAGAUUUUUACAAGUCUAAGAUUUUCCCACUGACAUUAGGUUUCUGGGAGCUGUUACAGAAUCUGUAUUAAGAAACAGCAGGGGACGGGGGAGGUGGUGUGGGAACAGCUCUUGAGAGCUUGCCUAGUUUUCAGAAGGCCCUGAAUUCUAUUUGUAAUGCUAGGGAGAGACUUGGAGGGAAUGGGGGCCCAACAACACUCCACCCAGAAAAGGGAAGCAGAGAGAAAAAGGGAGAAAAUGCAUGCUAAGCAUUUUGACUCGGACUUAGUGGGCCGAUCUAUGAGUUAACUCAAUUGGCAAUACAGUCAGCCCACAGGAUUGGACGUGCACGUUUGGCUACUAUAAUUCACAUAUGCUGGGGGGGUAUUGUUCCUUUCUUGAAAGUUCCAAGCAAACAUCCUGUCUGCUGCAGCCUUUUGUGGGUGCCGCUACCCUUCAGUUAUCGCUGUGUUUUGUUUUGUUUUUUUAAAGAGGAACAUCAACAAGUAUUUAGGAGGGGCCUACAAAGAACUUUUCACCCUUAGCCGCAGCCCACGAUCCUCCCACCGAAAGGCCGGAGAAGCGCCGCCCAGCUGAGCCGCGCAGGGGCUACGAGCCACGCCCGGAUGCGCCGCGGCCAGGUCCCGGCCGCCCAAGGGUGGAGACAGGGUGCGGCUCCGCCUCACCUCCACCGCCUGGCCCAGCUCCAGGUCGAAGCCCACCACACACACGCAGUGUAGCCAGGCUGAGAAGCCGUCCCAGCGCAGCAGGCCCCGGCGGCCAUCGUCCUCCUCAUCGUCCUCCAGCGCGACUCCCGCCGCCGCAAGGGCCGCCGCCUCGCGCCCCUCGGCCCCAGCCUCGUCCAACGACCCGCGGGAACCGGGUCCGAAGACCGCCUGGUCCCGCAGAGCCAUCCGCCACCCCCUGUCCGCUCGAGCCGCCUCCGCCGCGGACCGCGCCGCAGAGCGCGCAGGCCUCCGCGCACGCGCACCGAGUGCUGCCGCAGCAGCUCCGGACUCCCUGGAUAGGGGCGCGGCCACGAGCCACGUGACCCUGGGAGCGGGGGUUCAGUGUGUUUCCCUGCACGCCGCCACCCCUGCUGCUGGCGCCGACUGGCCUACUGGUCUUAGAAUCCUCAUCUCGUCCCGACGACAGUACAGCAACGAAUUAUUCUCGGAAUGACACAGUUCAUUAUUAAAGUAUCACUAAAACAGUGGUGUUUAAUGAAACUUUUACUCUGUGCCAGUUGAUAUGCUAAGUUCAAAUAAAGUAUUAACUAUUAAACAAAUCAA